UACGGAGGAUGCAAGCGUUAUCCGGAAUUAUUGGGCGUAAAGCGUCCGUAGGUGGUCGGUCAAGUCUGUUGUCAAAGCGUGCGGCUCAACCGCAUACGGGCAAUGGAAACUGGUUGACUUGAGUGCGAUAGGGGUGACAGGAAUUCCCGGUGUAGCGGUGAAAUGCGUAGAUAUCGGGAAGAACACCAGUGGCGAAAGCGCUCUGCUAGGCCUGUACUGACACUGAGGGACGAAAGCUAGGGGAGCGAAUGGG
This 253-nucleotide ribosomal RNA is filed under the name uncultured bacterium. Its description in RNAcentral is "partial 16S ribosomal RNA". It matches the Rfam family "Bacterial small subunit ribosomal RNA", at positions 524 to 776 of the family's 1533-position model. The record is from RNAcentral.